UAUUUAACGGCCGCGGUACCCUGACCGUGCAAAGGUAGCAUAAUCAUUUGCCCUAUAAUUGAGGGCUAGUAUGAAUGGUUUGACAAGAGCAAUACUGUCUCCAUAAAACUUAAUAAAAAUUAUUUUUUAGGUGAAGAAACCUAAAUUAAAUUAAAAGACAAGAAGACCCUAUCGAGCUUAAAAUCUAUUUGUAAAAUAAAGAAAAUCAAUUGAUAUUUCUAAUUGCAGAAAAUUUUGGUUGGGGCGACUAAGGAACAAAAAAAGCUUCUUUUUAGACUAAAAAUUUAUAAAUGAUGAUCCAUUAUUUAAUGAUUAAAAGAAUUAGUUACCGUAGGGAUAACAGCAUAAUCCUUUUUGAGAGUUCUUAUCGAAAAAAGGGUUUGUGACCUCGAUGUUGGACUAGAAUUUCCUGAAAGAUGCAGAAGUCUUCGAGG
Molecule: ribosomal RNA, 434 nt
Filed under: Polinices mammilla
Lineage: Eukaryota; Metazoa; Mollusca; Gastropoda; Littorinimorpha; Naticidae
Description: partial 16S ribosomal RNA
Rfam family: Bacterial large subunit ribosomal RNA
Source: RNAcentral